GGGGUCCCUCUGUGGGUCUGGGGUCCCUUUUGGGUCCCCCAUUUUGGGUCUGGGUCCCCCAUUUUGGGUCUGGGGUCCCAUUUGGGUCCCCCUUUUGGGUCUGGGGUCCCUUUUGGCUCUGGGGUCCCUUUGGGGUCCCAUUUGGGUUUGGGGUCCCUUUGGGGUCUGGGGUCCCAUUUUGGGUCCCCCAUUUUGGGUCUGGGGUCCCAUUUUGGGUCUGGGGUCCCUUUGGGGGUCCCCAUUUUGGGUCUGGGGUCCCUCUUUGGGGUCCCCCAUUUUGGGUCUGGGGUCCCAUUUGGGUCUGGGGUCCCCUUUUUGGGUCCCCCAUUUGGGUCUGGGUCCCCCUUUUGGGUCCCCCAUUUGGGUCUGGGGUCCCAUUUUGGGUCUGGGGUCUCCCUUUUGGGUCCCUUUUGGGUCUGGGGUUCCCCUUUGGGGUCUCCCUUUUGGGUCUGGGGUCUCCCUUUUGGGUCCCUGUUGGGUCUGGGGUCCCCUUUUGGGUCUGGGGUCCCUUUUGGGUCUGGGGUCCCUUUGGGGUCCCAUUUGGGUUUGGGGUCCCUUUGGGGUCUGGGGUCCCAUUUGGGUCCCCCAUCUGGGUCUGGGGUCCCUCUGUGGGUCUGGGGUCUCCAUUUUGGGUCUGGGGUCCCAUUUGGGUCUGGGAUCCCUUUGGGGUCCAUUUUGGGUCUGGGGUCCCCCAUUUUGGGUCUGGGGUCCCUUUUGGGUCUGGGGUCCCCCAUUUGGCUCUGGGGUCCCUUUGGGGUCCCAUUUGGGUCUGGGGUCCCCUUUUUGGGUCCCCCAUUUGGGUCUGGGGUCCCCCUUUUGGGUCCCCCAUUUUGGGUCUGGGGUCCCUUUGGGGGUCUCCAUUUUGGGUCUGGGUCCCCCAUUUUGGGUCUGGGGUCCCUUUGGGGUCUGGGGUCCCAUUUUGGGUCCCCCAUUUGGGUCUGGGGUCCCUUUUGGGUCUGGGGUCUCCCUUUGGGGUCCCUUUUGGCUCUGGGGUCCCUUUGGGGUGUCCCUUUUGGGUCUGGGGUCCCUUUUGGGUCUGGGGUCCCAUUUUGGGUCCCCCAUUUGGGUCCCCCAUUUGGGUCUGGGGUCCCCCUUUUGGGUCCCCCAUUUCGGUCUGGGGUCCCUUUGGGGGUCCCCAUUUUGGGUCUGGGGUCCCUCUUUGGGGUCCCUUUUGGGUCUGGGGUCCCCAUUUUGGGUCUGGGGUCCCAUUUGGGUCUGGGGUCCCAUUUGGGUCUGGGGUCCCUGACCCCCCCCUGCCCCGCCCAGCGCCGGGCGAGGACCCCGAGCUCGUGGUGGCCACGACGCGCCUGGAGACGAUGCUGGGGGACGCGGCGGUGGCCGUUCACCCCGAAGACCCCCGCUUUGAGGUGA
RNAcentral lists this long non-coding RNA (1371 nucleotides) under Chloebia gouldiae (Gouldian finch). RNAcentral describes it as "Erythrura gouldiae (Gouldian finch) lncRNA (ENSEGOG00005011754.1)". Lineage: Eukaryota; Metazoa; Chordata; Aves; Passeriformes; Passeridae. The record is from RNAcentral.